CCGGAAGACCAAGGGUUCCUGUCCAACGUUAAUCGGGGCAGGGUGAGUCGACCCCUAAGGCGAGGCCGAAAGGCGUAGUCGAUGGGAAACAGGUUAAUAUUCCUGUACUUGGUGUUACUGCGAAGGGGGGACGGAGAAGGCUAUGUUGGCCGGGCGACGGUUGUCCCGGUUUAAGCGUGUAGGCUGGUUUUCCAGGCAAAUCCGGAAAACUAAGGCUGAGGCGUGAUGACGAGGCACUACGGUGCUGAAGCAACAAAUGCCCUGCUUCCAGGAAAAGCCUCUAAGCAUCAGGUAACAUCAAAUCGUACCCCAAACCGACACAGGUGGUCAGGUAGAGAAUACCAAGGCGCUUGAGAGAACUCGGGUGAAGGAACUAGGCAAAAUGGUGCCGUAACUUCGGGAGAAGGCACGCUGAUAUGUAGGUGAAGUCCCUCGCGGAUGGAGCUGAAAUCAGUCGAAGAUACCAGCUGGCUGCAACUGUUUAUUAAAAACACAGCACUGUGCAAACACGAAAGUGGACGUAUACGGUGUGACGCCUGCCCGGUGCCGGAAGGUUAAUUGAUGGGGUUAGCGCAAGCGAAGCUCUUGAUCGAAGCCCCGGUAAACGGCGGCCGUAACUAUAACGGUCCUAAGGUAGCGAAAUUCCUUGUCGGGUAAGUUCCGACCUGCACGAAUGGCGUAAUGAUGGCCAGGCUGUCUCCACCCGAGACUCAGUGAAAUUGAACUCGCUGUGAAGAUGCAGUGUACCCGCGGCAAGACGGAAAGACCCCGUGAACCUUUACUAUAGCUUGACACUGAACAUUGAGCCUUGAUGUGUAGGAUAGGUGGGAGGCUUUGAAGUGUGGACGCCAGUCUGCAUGGAGCCGACCUUGAAAUACCACCCUUUAAUGUUUGAUGUUCUAACGUUGACCCGUAAUCCGGGUUGCGGACAGUGUCUGGUGGGUAGUUUGACUGGGGCGGUCUCCUCCUAAAGAGUAACGGAGGAGCACGAAGGUUGGCUAAUCCUGGUCGGACAUCAGGAGGUUAGUGCAAUGGCAUAAGCCAGCUUGACUGCGAGCGUGACGGCGCGAGCAGGUGCGAAAGCAGGUCAUAGUGAUCCGGUGGUUCUGAAUGGAAGGGCCAUCGCUCAACGGAUAAAAGGUACUCCGGGGAUAACAGGCUGAUACCGCCCAAGAGUUCAUAUCGACGGCGGUGUUUGGCACCUCGAUGUCGGCUCAUCACAUCCUGGGGCUGAAGUAGGUCCCAAGGGUAUGGCUGUUCGCCAUUUAAAGUGGUACGCGAGCUGGGUUUAGAACGUCGUGAGACAGUUCGGUCCCUAUCUGCCGUGGGCGCUGGAGAACUGAGGGGGGCUGCUCCUAGUACGAGAGGACCGGAGUGGACGCAUCACUGGUGUUCGGGUUGUCAUGCCAAUGGCACUGCCCGGUAGCUAAAUGCGGAAGAGAUAAGUGCUGAAAGCAUCUAAGCACGAAACUUGCCCCGAGAUGAGUUCUCCCUGACUCCUUGAGAGUCCUGAAGGAACGUUGAAGACGACGACGUUGAUAGGCCGGGUGUGUAAGCGCAGCGAUGCGUUGAGCUAACCGGUACUAAUGAACCGUGAGGCUUAACCUU
Molecule: ribosomal RNA, 1608 nt
Filed under: Escherichia coli UMEA 3292-1
Lineage: Bacteria; Pseudomonadati; Pseudomonadota; Gammaproteobacteria; Enterobacterales; Enterobacteriaceae
Description: bacterial LSU rRNA
Rfam family: Bacterial large subunit ribosomal RNA
Source: RNAcentral